UGUCAUUAUCAAUGUAGGUGCUGUUUCCGGAAAUUUGUUCAUUCUUUGGACACAUGUCGAAGGCGUUACUUGAUCUUUUUGGAGGUAAAACAUGUUCAUCGCGGCGUAUUGCAGUAAAGUUUGGUCGGCUGUAAAAUAUAAAUACGAGACAUGAAAUACAUAUUGGGGAAUAUGUGGAGAAUAUUCAACGCACAUAUGAAAAUGCCGUAAAAUACGUGCAUGCAGAAAUGCGAUGAGAAGAUUUCAGCUCAAUGAGUUCAAAGUUGGGCAAUACGUUCAUUAAGGGUGUUUUUCCCCUAACACAGCGAAUAUCAAGGAAAUGCAGAAUGAAUUUGGAAAACCAUUUCAUGAGAUGAACUUGCUGGUGUUCAUGGGAUUACGCCAAGGAUUUGCAGUUAUCGUUGCAUAUGAAACUAAAAUGUGUACACUUGAAAAUUUUCGAAAUAAAUAAUUGUGUAUUAUAUUUAUAAAUUUAAAA
This is a long non-coding RNA of Anastrepha ludens (Mexican fruit fly), 478 nucleotides long. RefSeq lists it as uncharacterized. The record is from RefSeq and is a predicted model, not a curated record. The transcript is spliced from 5 exons. Lineage: Eukaryota; Metazoa; Arthropoda; Insecta; Diptera; Tephritidae.